UACGUAUGGUGCAAGCGUUAUCCGGAUUUACUGGGUGUAAAGGGAGCGCAGGCGGCGCGUUAAGCCUGGUGUGAAAGCCCGCGGCCCAACCGCGGGACUGCAUUGGGAACUGGCGCGCUGGAGUGCCGGAGGGGUAGGCGGAAUUCCUAGUGUAGCGGUGAAAUGCGUAGAUAUUAGGAGGAACACAGUGGCGAAGGCGGCCUACUGGACGGUGACUGACGCUGAGGCUCGAAAGCGUGGGGAGCAAACAGG
This 252-nucleotide ribosomal RNA is filed under the name uncultured bacterium. RNAcentral describes it as "partial 16S ribosomal RNA". It matches the Rfam family "Bacterial small subunit ribosomal RNA", at positions 524 to 776 of the family's 1533-position model. The record is from RNAcentral.